RNAcentral lists this long non-coding RNA (2599 nucleotides) under Papio anubis (olive baboon). RNAcentral's name for it is "lncRNA (ENSPANG00000039152.1)". Lineage: Eukaryota; Metazoa; Chordata; Mammalia; Primates; Cercopithecidae. The record is from RNAcentral.
GCCGAGACAACUAGGGUCUGAAGCAGAACCCCAGCAAACUGCAGAAGCCCUAUAGUAAAGUGGACUGACUGUUAAAAGAAAACAAACAAACAAACAAAAAUUUACAGGAACAACAUCAACAUAAAAGACCCCCCAUAAACCCGUUAAAGAUCAACAACCUCAAAGGUUGAAGGUAGAUAAACCCACAAAGAUGAUAAAGAAUAAACAUAAAAAUGCUGCAACUCCAAAAGCCAGAGUGUCUCCUUUUCUCCAAAUGACUGCAAUACCUCUCCAGCAAGGGCACAUAAUUGGUCUGAGGCUGAGAUGGCUGAAUUGACAGAAGUAGGCUUCAGAAGGUGGGUAAUAACAAACUUUGCUCAGCUAAAGGGACAUGUUGUAACCCAAUGAAAAGAAGCUAAGAAUCAUAAUAAAACAAUACAGGAGCUGACAGCCAAAAUAGCCAGUUUAAAGAUGAACAUAACUGACUUAAUGGAGCUGAAAAACGCAUGACAGUUUCACGAUGAAAUCACAGGUAUUAAUAGCAGAAUAGACCAACAAGAAGAAGGAAUAUUAGAGCCGGAAGACUAUUUUUUUCUGAAAUAAGAUAGAUAGACAAGAAUAUAGUUUUAAAAAGAAUAAAAAGGAAGGAACAAAACCUCAAAAAAAUGUAUAAUUAUGUAAAGAGACCAAACCUAUGAGUAAUUGAGGUACCUCAAAGAGAUGGAAAGAACAAAACCAAGUUGGAAAACAUACUUUAUGCUGUCAUCCAGGAGAACUUCCCCAACCUAACAAGGCAGGCCGACAUUCAAAUUCUGGAAAUUCAGAGAACUACAGCAACAUAUUAUACAAGAAGACCAACCCUAAGACACAUAAUGAUCAGAUUCUUCAAAAUAAAAAUGAAAGAAAAAGUAUUAAGGGCAGGCAGAGAGAAAGAUCAGGUCACUUACAAAAGGAAAUCCAUCAGACUACUAGCGGGACUUCUUUUUAUUUAUUUAUUUAUUUAUUUAUUUAUUUAUUUAUUUAUUUAUUAUUAUUAUACUGUAAGUUGUAGGGUACAUGUGCAUAACGUGCAGGUUUGUUACAUAUGUAUACUUGUGCCUUGUUGGUGUGCUGCACCCAUCAACUCGUCAUUUACAUCAGGUAUAACUCCCAAUGAUUUACAUCAGGUAUAACUCCCAAUGCAAUCCCUCCCCCGUCUCCCCUCCCCAUGAUAGGCCCCGGUGUGUGAUGUUCCCCUUCCCGAGUCCAAGUGAUCUCAUUGUUCAGUUCCCACCUAUGAGUGAGAACAUGCAGUGUUUGGUUUUCUGUUCUUGCGAUAGUCUGCUGAGAAUGAUGGUUUUCAGCUGCAUCCAUGUCCCUACAAAGGACACAAACUCAUCCUUUUUUAUGGCUGCAUAGUACUCCAUGGUGUAUAUGUGCCACAUUUUCUUAAUCCAGUCUGUCACUGAUGGACAUUUGGGUUGAUUCCAAGUCUUUGCUAUUGUGAAUAGUGCCGCAAUAAACAUACGUGUGCAUGUGUCUUUAUAGCAAUAUGAUUUAUAAUCCUUUGGGUAUAUACCCAGUAAUGGGAUGGCUGGGUCAUAUGGUACUUCUAGUUCUAGAUCCUUGAGGAAUCGCCAUACUGUUUUCCAUAAUGGUUGAACUGGUUUACAAUCCCACCAACAGUGUAAAAGUGUUCCUAUUUCUCCACAUCCUCUCCAGCACCUGUUGUUUCCUGACUUUUUAAUGAUUGCCAUUCUAACUGGUGUGAGAUGGUAUCUCAUUGUGGUUUUGAUUUGCAUUUCUCUGAUGGCCAGUGAUGAUGAGCAUUUUUUCAUGUGUCUGUUGGCUGUAUGAAUGUCUUCUUUUGAGAAACGUCUGUUCAUAUCCUUUGCCCACUUUUUGAUGGGGUUGUUUCUUUUUUUCUUGUAAAUUUGAUUGAGUUCUUUGUAGGUUCUGGAUACUAGUCCUUUGUCAGAUAAGUAGAUUGCAAAAAUUUUCUCCCAUUCUGUAGGUUGCCUGUUCACUCCGAUGGUAGUUUCUUUUGCUGUGCAGAUGCUCUUUAGUUUAAUUAGACCCCAUUUGUCAAUUUUGGCUUUUGUUGCCAUCGCUUUUGGUGUUUUAGUCAUGAAGUCUUUGCCCAUCCUUAUGUCCUGAAUCGUAUUGCCUAGGUUUUCUUCUAGGAUUUUUAUGGUUUCAGGCCUAAUAUUUAAGUCUUUAAUCCAUCUUGAAUUAAUCUUUGUGUAAGGUGUAAGGAAGGGAUCCAGUUUCAGCUUUCUACAUAUGGCUAGCCAGUUUUCCCAACACCAUUUAUUAAAUAGGGAAUCCUUUCCCCAUUUCUUGUUUUAGUCAGUUUUGAUAAAUAUCAGAUGGUUGUAGAUAUGUGGUAUUAUUUCUCAGGAAUCUGUUCUGUUCCAUUGGUCUAUAUCUCUGUUUUGGUACCAGGACCAUGUUGUUUUGGUUCCUGUAGCCUUGUAGUAUAGUUUGAAGUCACGUAGCUCGAUGCCUCCAGCUUUGUUCUUUUGGCUUAGGAUUUUCUUGGCAAUGCUGGCUCUUUUUUGGUUCGAUGUGAACUUUAAAGUAGUUUUUUCCAAUUCUGUGAAGAAAGUAAUCAGUUACUUGAUGGGGAUGGCAUUGAAUC